UACAGAGGGUGCAAGCGUUAAUCGGAAUUACUGGGCGUAAAGCGCGCGUAGGCGGUUUGAUAAGUCGGGUGUGAAAGCCCCGGGCUUAACCUGGGAAUUGCAUUCGAUACUGUCAGGCUAGAGUAUGGUAGAGGGAGGCGGAAUUCCACAUGUAGCGGUGAAAUGCGUAGAUAUGUGGAGGAACACCAGUGGCGAAGGCGGCCUCCUGGACUAAUACUGACGCUGAGGUGCGAAAGCGUGGGGAGCAAACAGG
This 253-nucleotide ribosomal RNA is filed under the name uncultured bacterium. Its description in RNAcentral is "partial 16S ribosomal RNA". It matches the Rfam family "Bacterial small subunit ribosomal RNA", at positions 524 to 776 of the family's 1533-position model. The record is from RNAcentral.